Molecule: ribosomal RNA, 494 nt
Filed under: uncultured bacterium
Lineage: Bacteria
Description: bacterial SSU rRNA
Rfam family: Bacterial small subunit ribosomal RNA
Source: RNAcentral
UAGUCCACGCCGUAAACGAUGUCUACUAGCCGUUGGGGAACUUGAUUCUUUAGUGGCGCAGCUAACGCACUAAGUAGACCGCCUGGGGAGUACGGCCGCAAGGUUAAAACUCAAAUGAAUUGACGGGGGCCCGCACAAGCGGUGGAGCAUGUGGUUUAAUUCGAUGCAACGCGAAGAACCUUACCAGGUCUUGACAUACAGCGAACUUUCCAGAGAUGGAUUGGUGCCUUCGGGAACGCUGAUACAGGUGCUGCAUGGCUGUCGUCAGCUCGUGUCGUGAGAUGUUAAGUUAAGUCCUUUAACGAGCGCAACCCCUAUUCUUAUUUGCCAUCAGGUUAUGCUGGGAACUAUAAGGAAACUGCCAACGUCAAGUUGGAGGAAGGUGGGAUGAUGUCAAGUCAUCAUGGCCCUUAUGGGCUGGGCUACACACAUGCUACAAUGGUGGUUACAGUAGGACGCAAUGGAGCAAUCCGGAGCAAAUCCUCAAAGAUCAU